Molecule: ribosomal RNA, 376 nt
Filed under: uncultured organism
Description: partial 16S ribosomal RNA
Rfam family: Bacterial small subunit ribosomal RNA
Source: RNAcentral
GUAGGGUGCGAGCGUUAAUCGGGAAUUACUGGGGCGUAAAGCGUGCGCAGGCGGUUCGCUAAGACCGAUGUGAAAUCCCCGGGGGCUUAACCUGGGGAACUGCAUUGGUGACUGGCGGGCUAGAGUAUGGCAGAGGGGGGUAGAAUUCCACGUGUAGCAGUGAAAUGCGUAGAGAUGUGGAGGAAUACCGAUGGCGAAGGCAGCCCCCUGGGCCAAUACUGACGCUCAUGCACGAAGGCGUGGGGAGCAAACAGGAUUAGAUACCCUGGUAGUCCACGCCCUAAACGAUGUCAACUAGUUGUCGGGUCUUCAUUGACUUGGUAACGUAGCUAACGCGUGAAGUUGACCGCCUGGGGAGUACGGUCGCAAAGAUUAA